CUCUUUCUGACUCCCCUAGUGCAUUAACAGAAACGAGUUGUCUGAUCAUCAAUUAGCAUUUACAUUAUCAGAAUGCAGAAUUGAUCAAAUGACAAACUUCCACACAAAGCCUUUUUUUCACCAGAUGCCAAUGAACAAAAGUUACUUUCUAUUUCUUGAAGAUAGUGUUGACAGAGCAGAACAGGGCUGAUAGCUGCUACAACCAGUAAUAACCCUGUUAGAAAUAUUUAAAUCAACAUUUGUGGUUUCAAACUGAAUAGGGUGGUGUCAAACUGAAUCAAUAGUAAUUUUAUUUUCAACCGAGAGACAACCCUUCUUACUGCAUACCCCCACCCCACCCCCAACAUGAUGAUAACAACCCACCUGUGGGAGACAGCCUUUUUAAGCUCCCUGCGUCUUCUCUUUAGCUUCACAAGUUGCAGUUUUUGACUGUUUUCCACAUCAGAAACACUCUUACUAUUGCUGCAGACAGAAAAUGUCAGAUCAAGAUAAAAAACAAAGUUCUGAAGGGGAAAGCCAAGGUCCCGGGCCUGGACCUGCUGGGCCCGGACCUGCUGUACACGUGCCUCUGCGCGGUGCUGGCCACGGAGGUGCUAACGUCCCCGCGCAAGUUCCUGCGCAGGGACCUGGGAUUGGGCAAGGUCCUGCCCGCGUACCUGGGCAUAAGAGUGGCAAAUAAUACAGGAAACACUGGCAGCAUGAUCUGAGCUGAGUUACCUGUUGCCUGUCAAAUUCUUCUUUCUUCUUUCUUUCUUUCUUUCUUUCUUUCUUUCUUCUUAUUCUUUAAAAUUUUUUAUUUACUCAAAAACAUGUUUUUAUUUACUCAAAAACAUGUUCACAUUGUCAAACACCAAUAAAGGAUGUAUUACACUUUGACUCA
Molecule: long non-coding RNA, 880 nt
Filed under: Betta splendens (Siamese fighting fish)
Lineage: Eukaryota; Metazoa; Chordata; Actinopteri; Anabantiformes; Osphronemidae
Description: lncRNA (ENSBSLG00000010531.1)
Source: RNAcentral